This is an RNA transcript of Vespa crabro (European hornet), 2591 nucleotides long. It is a transcript of the gene named glucose dehydrogenase [FAD, quinone]-like, with no coding region annotated. Lineage: Eukaryota; Metazoa; Arthropoda; Insecta; Hymenoptera; Vespidae. The transcript is spliced from 6 exons. The record is from RefSeq and is a predicted model, not a curated record.
GUGGGCAGGUGCCUCUCGAGAACUACAUUUUUUCUUUGUAUCACGAAUAGAAAGCAUCGAUCGUUGGUAUUUUAUUUUUAAAAGAAAGAAAAUUUUCAUUCAUUAAGAAUGAUUACGUUAAAAAAAUUGUCUCCCUUACAAAUCGCGCUUUUUUAUAGGCUGGAAAAGAGUUUUCUAAUUUUAUUAAAAAUCUUUGUGUUGUUAUAUCGUCCGGAUAUCAUCGAUCAUGAUAAUCGAAUAAAUACAUUGUCACCGAGAAAGCUUUCGGAUAAUUAUGACUUUGUGGUGAUCGGUGGUGGAUCAGCGGGAUCAGUUAUUGCGAAUCGUCUUUCGGAAAACGAAAAUUGGACGGUGCUUUUAUUGGAAGCUGGUGGAAUCGAACCGAUGUUAUCAGAUAUUCCUGUUAUUUUUCCGACUUAUCAAGUUAGUCCAAUAGAUUGGCAAUUUAAGACGGAACCGUCAUCGUGUUAUUGCCUGGGAAUGAAUAAUAGGCAAUGUAAUUGGCCACGAGGAAAGGUAUUAGGUGGCAGUAGUGUGAUAAAUGCUAUGCUCUAUGUACGUGGUAACAAAAAGGAUUACGAUAAUUGGAGAGAUCUAGGUAAUCCUGGUUGGGAUUACGAGAGUGUACUGCCAUAUUUUAAAAAAUCGGAAAAUAACAAAAUCGAAGGUUUAGAUCCCGCUUAUCAUGGGACUAACGGAGAAAUGACUAUUGAACAUUUCAGAUUUCAAACUCCUGUGACGGAUUAUUUAUUAGACGCUGGAAAAGAGAUAGGUUAUAGAAUAGGUGACAUAAAUGGAUCGAAUCAAACUGGAUUCACGUAUUCUCAUGCAACGAUCAGAGACGGUCUUCGUUGCAGUACUUCUAAAGCUUUUCUUCGGAAGGCAUCGAAAAGAAAAAAUCUUCAUAUAUGCACGCAUUCGAUUGUCGAAAAAAUCCUGAUAAAGGAAAAUUCAAAGAGAGCUUACGGCGUGAUGUUUCGGAACAAUGAAGAAACAUACACCGUUCGUGCGAAUUUCGAAGUUAUUUUGACUGCCGGUACUAUACAGUCACCGCAAUUGCUAAUGCUGUCGGGGAUUGGACCAAUGGAUCAUCUUAAGGAAUUAGAUAUACCAUUGAUCCAAGACAUGCCAGGCGUUGGUUCGAAUCUUCAAGAUCACGUGGCGAUAGGAGGUUUAGUUUAUUUGGUCGAUCCACCGGAAAAAUACAAUUUCAACGAGUUCACUUACGUAUUGCCAAAACUUAUUUCCCUGAAAUCGGUAAGACAAUUUGCUAAGAAAAAAAGUGGUCCUUUAUAUACGGCACCAGAGUGCGAGGCAAUGGCUUUUAUUAAUACAAAAUAUUCAAAUGUCUCCGCAGAUUAUCCAGACAUUCAGCUAUUUAUAGCGGCGGCUUCUAUUAAUUUAGACGGUGGAGUAUUCAGUAAAAGAAUAUUUGGUCUUACGGACGAUUUUUAUGCAAAAGUUUUCAAAAAUAUCAACUAUCAGCAUUCUUACUCUAUUAUACCAAUUCUUUUGAGACCUCGUAGCAGAGGUUAUAUCAAAUUAAGAACGAAAAAUCCCAAAGAUCACCCUAUCAUUGUACCCAAUUACUUUAACAAUCUUCGCGACCUUGAAAUUUUGAUAGAAGGCGCAAAAUUUGCACAUAAAAUAAGUCAAACGAAAAUAAUGCAAAAUGUUAAUGCUCGGGCAAAUCCAAAUAGAAUACCAGCUUGUUCAAUAUUUCAAUUUUCAUCGGAUGAUUAUUGGCGAUGUCACGCACGUCAUUAUACAAUGACAAUUUAUCAUCCAAUUGGUACAUGCAAGAUGGCACCUGCUAACGAUCCUAUGGGUGUAGUUGAUUCUCGAUUGAAGGUACACGGUAUUCAAGGUCUUCGUGUGAUCGAUGGAUCCAUUAUGCCGAAUAUAAUCUCUGGAAAUACUAACGCACCCAUAAUAAUGAUCGCGGAAAAAGGUGCCGAUAUGAUUAAGGAGUAUUGGAAUAACCGAAAUCAUUCGUGAUAAGCAAAAUCAACAAAUUAUUUAAUGUACAAUCUUCAUAUUUCCGAAAAAUUAUUUGAAAUAAUUAAAUAAAUACGUACAUAUAUCUUGUUACAUUAUCAAGCUAUUUUGGCAUUGAGCACAUGUGCGAAUUAAAAUAAUUAAUCGAAUACCUCUAUAUUUCGAUAAUUUUUAUUUACCCACAUGCUGUGUCAAUAUAUUUUUCAUAUGUAUGCUCAGAUGUGCCACAUGAUUUUUAUUAUAAUGAUUACCUUUCAUCUUCCUUUAUUACUUAAAGACAGAAUCAUUUGAAGCUCUAUUCGUUCGCUGGCACUCGAAUCAAACGGAUUCUAACUCUUCAAGAACCUGAUGAUCUUGGAUGACGUACGAUGAUACGGAUUUUAAAAAUGCGCCUACUCGAUUUUAUCUUGCUUUUGGUGCAGUAUGCAUUCGCUAAACAAGUUAAUCCACCGAUGCUCAAUCAAUUGGGCUUAAAUUAUGACAGUUUCAUUAUAUCAAACACAACAGGAUGUUGCGGCUGUAGUUUUGAAGAUACAAAAUACAUGGACACGUUAUGCGGUGGCCAAUCCGCUUUCAUAAAUUUAGUUCAGAAU